AAGAAUGAGACAACAUGGAAGUAUAAAGACCCAUGCUUUUGGUUGUCCCCAUUUCUCCUGCAAUCUUCUUCAACCAACAUGGUUCAGUAGAGCACAGGGGAAUAAGUGCAGCAGAAGAGCCUCAUGAGAGCUUCUCAAGUUGUAUGUUUGAUCCUUGUGGUUGCUGCCUUGUUUGUUGCACUUGCUUCUCUACAAGCAAGUGCAGAUGCCGCUGGGUUGCAUGAAGAGGCCGGGGCAUUCAAGAAGGGCAAGCUGCCAUGGUGGUGGGACACCGAUUAUAUACGGUCGAAACGUCGAAGGCCAAUACAUAACUGAACUUGAUACUUCAUUAGUCUUAGAAGUGGUCUCUACUGAUUCAUAUAAUCAUGUAUGUCAUCCGGUUAAUCAUUGUUGUAUUAGCUAAGUUAGGCUACAUCGUGAAAUCCCUUUUAGUACUUUGGUUUCACAUUAUUCUUGUUUUUAUUAUAUUGUAGAAACUUUUCUUAAGAACUAGGAAGGUGGCCCGCGCGAAUGCGCGGGCAUGUAAUAUAGGUUGCGUUUAAGAGUGGAAUAUCAACCGGAUGACAUUGUCAUGUUUUAAAAGUACCGUUUUCUAGACAUUUUCUUCAUUGGCAUUGGUUAGAUAAUUUCUCCGAGCCAUUUGUUAGCUUUAAACUAUAUAAUAUUUAAUUCCUCCCUAUAAACAAUUAUAUAUUAUCUCUUUAUUAUCAA
Oryza sativa Japonica Group (Japanese rice) is the source of this 711-nucleotide long non-coding RNA. RefSeq lists it as uncharacterized. NCBI's taxonomy places the organism in Eukaryota, Viridiplantae, Streptophyta, Magnoliopsida, Poales, Poaceae. The record is from RefSeq and is a predicted model, not a curated record.